GACACAUUUUACUUUCCCAUAUAUUCUAAGGUUGCUGUUGUUUUUUCUUCUAAGUUAAUAUGUUUUGGCCUAUAUUUCUGUAAUGUUCACGAUUAACAUAUCAAUUGCCUAUUGCUUUCAUCACCUGUAAUACCUUCUUUGAGGAUAUCUACUAAGCACCUAUUUUCCAGUUUUUGGCCUUGCCUAUUUGUUUCACUAGUAUAGGCGUAGUAUUGAUGUCAAAUUCUUUUCUGCAGUUUAAUGUUUGGACCAGAUAUAUGUGGCACACAAACAAAGAAGCUGCACGUCAUACUCUCAUACCAGGACCAAAAUUAUCCGUUAAAGAAGGAUUUAGAAUGUGAAACUGACAAAUUGACUCAUUUCUACGCAUUUAUUCUAAGGCCUGAUGCAAGUUAUA
RNAcentral lists this unclassified non-coding RNA (397 nucleotides) under Hevea brasiliensis (rubber tree). Lineage: Eukaryota; Viridiplantae; Streptophyta; Magnoliopsida; Malpighiales; Euphorbiaceae. The record is from RNAcentral.